CCUGGAAUGGCAGAGCUAUGGCCAGGGCCUCUAGAUGCCCAGACCUCCUUUCCCUAGUCUCUACCCCUAUCCUCCAGUGCUUCCCAAACAGCUGCUUGCCUCUCUGACUCCAGGAGAGAGUAGAACAUGGCCUCUUGAGCUGCGUUUGGGGAAUUCCCUGUCUGGUAAAAAGGUUGGGAUCAUGAUGGCACAGGCCGCUGGCAGAGAUGGGCCCAUCACUAUCCUCCCCUCUGUUAUUUUCAGCUUUCAUGAGUUUUCAUUCACAAAGAAUAACCACCACGUUGCAAGGACCAUGAGGCCACUGUGCGUGUCGUGCUGGUGGCUGGGACUGCUGGCCACCCUGGGAGCUGCUGCAGGCCCCGAGGAUGGUUUUGAGGGCACGGAGGAGGGCUCACCGAGAGAGUACAUUUACCUCAACAGGUAUAAGCGGGCAGGCGAGUCCCCGGACAAGUGCACCUAUACGUUCAUUGUGCCCCAGCAGCGGGUCACGGGAGCCAUAUGCGUCAAUUCCAAGGAGCCCGAGGUGCUGCUGGAGAACCGCGUGCAUAAGCAGGAGCUGGAGCUGCUCAACAACGAGCUGCUCAAGCAGAAGCGGCAGAUCGAGACGCUGCAACAGCUGGUGGAGGUGGACGGUGGCAUCGUGAGUGAGGUGAAGCUGCUGCGCAAGGAGAGCCGCAAUAUGAACUCACGCGUCACACAGCUCUACAUGCAGCUACUGCACGAGAUCAUCCGUAAGCGAGACAAUGCGUUGGAGCUCUCCCAGCUGGAGAACCGCAUCCUCAACCAGACGGCCGACAUGCUGCAGCUGGCCAGCAAGUACAAGGACCUGGAGCACAAGUACCAGCACCUGGCCACACUGGCCCACAACCAAUCGGAGGUCAUCGCGCAGCUCGAGGAGCACUGCCAGAGGGUGCCUGCAGCCAGGCCUGUGCCCCAGCCGCCCCCUGCGGCCCCGCCACAGGUCUACCAGCCGCCCACCUACAACCGCAUCAUCAACCAGAUCUCUACCAAUGAGAUCCAGAGCGACCAGAACCUGAAGGUGCUGCCACCCCCUCUGCCCACCAUGCCUGCUCUCACCAGCCUCCCAUCCUCUACCGACAAGCCGUCAGGUAAGUCCUUCUGGGCCUCAGAGCCAGGCACUAGGCUUCCCUGGCUGUGACCACAAGUGGGAGAAGAGCCAGGACUUGCACAAUCCCUUAGCGAUCUCUUGGGACAGCCGCUGGGACCAGUGGGGUGAGGAGGGACCACAUGGCUUAGAUGGAUGCUCAAAGGUACAAGUGGGAAGUAAGGCGUUCCCAAGGGCCUGUGCUUCGCUGGGUUCUGCAUGGGAUGCUCUGUGUUGGUGGUGAGAAUGGCUCUCCUGUGGGCUGUGCAGUGUGCAGAGCAGAGCUGGCAUUCUAUAAAUGUCACCCAAAAACCAGGAGGCUAAGGGGAAGAGCACUGUCAUGCUGAAGGUAUGAUAAACACACCACAGGGGCCGGUGGAUGGGAUGGGGCACUUCUCAAAGCCCGUGAGCUUCCCACAACCUGCUGUUGCCUAGGAUUUUCAAUGGGGUUCUUUGGUUUGUUCUGUGGUUUUUUGGUUUGUUAGUUUGAGACAGGGACUUACUAUGUAGCCCAGGCUGGUCUGGAAUG
Molecule: non-coding RNA, 1634 nt
Organism: Castor canadensis (American beaver)
Lineage: Eukaryota; Metazoa; Chordata; Mammalia; Rodentia; Castoridae
Source: RefSeq, a predicted model, not a curated record